CACGUAUUUAGCCGUCACUUCUUCUGUUGGUACCGUCAUUUUUUCUUCCCAACUGAAAGCACUUUACAUUCCGAAAAACUUCAUCGUGCACACAGAAUUGCUGGAUCAGACUCUUGGUCCAUUGUCCAAUAUUCCCCACUGCUGCCUCCCGUAGGAGUGAGGGCCGUGUCUCAGUCCCCUUGUGGCCGAUCACCCUCUCAGGCCGGCUACCCAUCAUCGCCUUGGUGAGCCGUUACCUCUCCAACUAGCUAAUGGGACGCAAAGCUCUCUCACAGCGCAUAUAGCUUUCAUAAUCCUAAGAUGCCCUAAAAUCAUAAUAUCAGGUAUUAGCAUUCGUUUCCAAAUGUUGUCCCUAUCUGUGAGGCAAGUUCUUUACGCGUUACUCACCCGUCCGCCACCCAAACCGAAGUUCAAGUUGACUUGCAUGUGUUAAGCAUUCUGUCAGCGUUCAUCCUGAGCCAGGAUCAAACUCU
Molecule: ribosomal RNA, 473 nt
Filed under: uncultured Fusobacterium sp.
Lineage: Bacteria; Fusobacteriati; Fusobacteriota; Fusobacteriia; Fusobacteriales; Fusobacteriaceae
Description: partial 16S ribosomal RNA
Source: RNAcentral